RNAcentral lists this ribosomal RNA (467 nucleotides) under uncultured bacterium. RNAcentral's name for it is "partial 16S ribosomal RNA". It matches the Rfam family "Bacterial small subunit ribosomal RNA", at positions 28 to 507 of the family's 1533-position model. The record is from RNAcentral.
GACGAACGCUGGCGGCGUGCUUAACACAUGCAAGUUGAACGGAAAGGCCUCUUUCGGGGGGUACUCGAGUGGCGAACGGGUGAGUAACACGUGAGUAACCUGCCCUUGACUUUGGGAUAACUUCAGGAAACUGGGGCUAAUACCGGAUAGGAGCUCCUGCUGCAUGGUGGGGGUUGGAAAGUUUCGGCGGUUGGGGAUGGACUCGCGGCUUAUCAGCUUGUUGGUGGGGUAGUGGCUUACCAAGGCUUUGACGGGUAGCCGGCCUGAGAGGGUGACCGGCCACAUUGGGACUGAGAUACGGCCCAGACUCCUACGGGAGGCAGCAGUGGGGAAUAUUGCACAAUGGGUGGAAGCCUGAUGCAGCAACGCCGUGUGCGGGAUGACGGCCUUCGGGCUGUAAACCGCUUUCGCUCAUGACGAAGCUUUGUGUGACGGUAGUGGGUAAAGAAGCACCGGCUAACUACGUG